CAGUCGCCGCGGGAAAACGUAGGUGGCAAGCGUUGUCCGGAAUUAUUGGGCGUAAAGGGCUCGCAGGCGGUUUCUUAAGUCUGAUGUGAAAGCCCCCGGCUCAACCGGGGAGGGUCAUUGGAAACUGGGAAACUUGAGUGCAGAAGAGGAGAGUGGAAUUCCACGUGUAGCGGUGAAAUGCGUAGAGAUGUGGAGGAACACCAGUGGCGAAGGCGACUCUCUGGUCUGUAACUGACGCUGAGGAGCGAAAGCGUGGGGAGCGAACAGGAUUAGAUACCCGAGUAGUCCCUGUCUCUUAUAC
This 301-nucleotide ribosomal RNA is filed under the name uncultured bacterium. RNAcentral describes it as "partial 16S ribosomal RNA". It matches the Rfam family "Bacterial small subunit ribosomal RNA", at positions 509 to 807 of the family's 1533-position model. The record is from RNAcentral.